Molecule: non-coding RNA, 649 nt
Organism: Arabidopsis thaliana (thale cress)
Lineage: Eukaryota; Viridiplantae; Streptophyta; Magnoliopsida; Brassicales; Brassicaceae
Source: RefSeq
CUCUGUCUUUGAUCAAAAGUUGAUCGUACUUGGAUUCCCGAUCUCUUCCUUCUAGAUUAGGUCCUGGAAUCGUCUUCUUAGGUGCUCCUCGCUUUCACUGCCCCCGAUCUCUUCCUUCUCAAUUAGGUCAAGAAAGAGAGGACGUGAGAGAAUCAAUUACGAUUCUGAGAUGAUGAACUCGAGGAUUACAUGGAUCAUCAUCAAGCGAACAGGUAGUCUUGGUUUGUGGAGCAGAAGCCAGUUUCUGAGGACUUGACAAAUACAACACACGUUGACAUCAACCUACCAAUGCUGCUCUAUUUGUCCAGAGAGAAGCCCGCCUGGUUCUGAGAUCCCGUACAAGAAAGCAGGAGCACAUAGUUUCUAAGUUCUGAUCUAUGUGUCCAGAUAGAAGCAGCCUGGUUCUGAGAUCACAACAAGAAAGCAGGAGCACAAACAACAACAAAGCUUGAGCUCGAGUACCUACCUUAAACUGCUGCAUUGAACCACCAAUCUUAUAUGUUUGCAAGUCUGGUGUGGAUGAGGAUAACAUUUUUUUGAAGAUGGCAUAUGUUGGGAAAUUCUCAGACAUUUCAUUCUUUGUUUCUGUUGUCUUCUCUCUUGCAAACUCGCAAGUCCGUUUAUAAGCUUGCAAACUAUUAAAGAUAAA